GACGAACGCUGGCGGCGUGCUUAACACAUGCAAGUUGAACGGAAAGGCCCUGCUUUUGUGGGGUUCUCGAGUGGCGAACGGGUGAGUAACACGUGAGUAUCCUGCCCUUGACUUUGGGAUAACUUCAGGAAACUGGGGCUAAUACCGGAUAGGAGCUCCUGCUGCAUGGUGGGGGUUGGAAAGUUUCGGCGGUUGGGGAUGGACUCGCGGCUUAUCAGCUUGUUGGUGGGGUAGUGGCUUACCAAGGCUUUGACGGGUAGCCGGCCUGAGAGGGUGACCGGCCACAUUGGGACUGAGAUACGGCCCAGACUCCUACGGGAGGCAGCAGUGGGGAAUAUUGCACAAUGGGCGGAAGCCUGAUGCAGCAACGCCGCGUGCGGGAUGACGGCCUUCGGGUUGUAAACCGCUUUCGCCUGUGACGAAGCGUGAGUGACGGUAAUGGGUAAAGAAGCACCGGCUAACUACGUG
Molecule: ribosomal RNA, 468 nt
Filed under: uncultured bacterium
Lineage: Bacteria
Description: partial 16S ribosomal RNA
Rfam family: Bacterial small subunit ribosomal RNA
Source: RNAcentral